UUAUUAUAUCUCAUAAUUUUCAUUCUCGAAAAGGAUAUCACAACACUUUACUAGGUCUAUUCUGGUCCUGGAAGCACAUAUUCUACGAUUGGAAAAACUGCUGUGACCCAUUUUCAGGUGACCAAGAAAGGGACUAGGUUUGAAAAAUCAGAGGGGGGGGGGGGGAAGGAGGGAAAAAAAAAGUUACAGAGAGGGCUGGGAGGCAGACAUGAGAGAGGAGGGCUAGCUGUAAGUCCUUCAGGCCCAGGGUUCCACUGACAUGCAAAAGCUCAGUAGCUGUGACCUGGCCACACUGUUGCUGAGAACUCUUGGGAGGGGAGCUCAUUUACAUGACAGCCCUGCCCCCACAGGUGAUAGCAGUUAUCAUGGGAGCCCAGCAAGCUGAUUCUGCUGAGCUGUGUUGAGAAGCUCAAUGCUGGGGCAUCUACACAGCAUGGCCUGGGCUCUUCUCCUGUUCACACUUCUGUCUCACUGCACAGGGGCCACUUCCCACGAAGUAGUGACUCAGGAAACUUCACUCUCAACAACUCCUGGAGGAACAGUCACACUCACCUGUGGCUCCAGUACUGGGGCCGUCACCACCAGUAAUUAUGCCAGCUGGGUCCAACAGAAGCCCUACCAGAGACUCCAGGGUCUGAUAGGUGGGACCAGCUACCGG
Molecule: long non-coding RNA, 658 nt
Organism: Leopardus geoffroyi (Geoffroy's cat)
Lineage: Eukaryota; Metazoa; Chordata; Mammalia; Carnivora; Felidae
Exons: 2
Source: RefSeq, a predicted model, not a curated record